UACGUAGGUGGCAAGCGUUGUCCGGAAUUAUUGGGCGUAAAGCGCGCGCAGGCGGUUCCUUAAGUCUGAUGUGAAAGCCCACGGCUCAACCGUGGAGGGUCAUUGGAAACUGGGGAACUUGAGUGCAGAAGAGGAAAGCGGAAUUCCACGUGUAGCGGUGAAAUGCGUAGAGAUGUGGAGGAGCACCAGUGGCGAAGGCGGCUUUCUGGUCUGUAACUGACGCUGAGGCGCGAAAGCCAGGGUAGCGAACCGG
RNAcentral lists this unclassified non-coding RNA (253 nucleotides) under uncultured Bacillaceae bacterium. RNAcentral describes it as "contains 16S-23S intergenic spacer region". It matches the Rfam family "Bacterial small subunit ribosomal RNA", at positions 524 to 776 of the family's 1533-position model. Lineage: Bacteria; Bacillati; Bacillota; Bacilli; Caryophanales; Bacillaceae. The record is from RNAcentral.